GUGUAGCCGAAGUCCGUAUGGGUCUUCGUCUUUGUAUCUUCUAACAAGGAUACAAUACUUAGGCUUUUAAGAUCUGGUUGCGA
Molecule: microRNA precursor, 83 nt
Organism: Arabidopsis thaliana (thale cress)
Lineage: Eukaryota; Viridiplantae; Streptophyta; Magnoliopsida; Brassicales; Brassicaceae
Rfam family: MIR5643 microRNA precursor family
Source: Rfam